This 492-nucleotide ribosomal RNA is filed under the name uncultured bacterium. RNAcentral's name for it is "partial 16S ribosomal RNA". It matches the Rfam family "Bacterial small subunit ribosomal RNA", at positions 29 to 507 of the family's 1533-position model. The record is from RNAcentral.
AGUGAACGCUGGCGGUAGGCCUAACACAUGCAAGUCGAACGGCAGCACAGUAAGAGCUUGCUCUUACGGGUGGCGAGUGGCGGACGGGUGAGGAAUACAUCGGAAUCUACUUUUUCGUGGGGAAUAACGUAGGGAAACUUACGCUAAUACCGCAUACGACCUACGGGUGAAAGCAGGGGAUCUUCGGACCUUGCGCGAUUGAAUGAGCCGAUGUCGGAUUAGCUAGUAGGCGGGGUAAAGGCCCACCAAGGCGACGAUCCGUAGCUGGUCUGAGAGGAUGAUCAGCCACACUGGAACUGAGACACGGUCCAGACUCCUACGGGAGGCAGCAGUGGGGAAUAUUGGACAAUGGGCGCAAGCCUGAUCCAGCCAUACCGCGUGGGUGAAGAAGGCCUUCGGGUUGUAAAGCCCUUUUGUUGGGAAAGAAAAGCAGCAGGUUAAUACCCCGCUGUUCUGACGGUACCCAAAGAAUAAGCACCGGCUAACUUCGUG